UGAUCAUAUUCGAGUUUGUGUGGCCA
RNAcentral lists this non-coding RNA (26 nucleotides) under Homo sapiens (human). The record is from RNAcentral. Lineage: Eukaryota; Metazoa; Chordata; Mammalia; Primates; Hominidae.